GACGAACGCUGACGGUGUGCUUUAGGCAUGCAAGUCGAACGAGAAAGCCCUUCGGGGUGAGUAAAGUGGCGAACGGGUGAGUAACACGUGGGCAACCUGCCCCUCGCAGGGGGACAACUGGAGGAAACUCCGGCUAAUACCCCGUACGCUUGUUGGAUCGCAUGGUCCGGCAAGGAAAGGUAGCUUCGGCCAUCCGGCGAGGGAUGGGCCCGCGUUGCAUUAGCUAGUUGGUGGGGUAACGCCUACCAAGGCGACGAUGCGUAGCUGGUCUGAGAGGAUGAUCAGCCACACUGGGACUGAGACACGGCCCAGACUCCUACGGGAGGCAGCAGCCAGGAAUCUUGGGCAAUGGGCGAAAGCCUGACCCAGCAACACCGUGUGGGCGACGAAGGCCUUAGGGUCGUAAAGCCCUGUUGAUAGGGACGAAGGGCGAAGGGUUAAUAGCCCCUAGCUUGACGGUACCUUUCGAGGAA
RNAcentral lists this ribosomal RNA (473 nucleotides) under uncultured bacterium. RNAcentral describes it as "bacterial SSU rRNA". It matches the Rfam family "Bacterial small subunit ribosomal RNA", at positions 28 to 489 of the family's 1533-position model. The record is from RNAcentral.